AUUGAACGCUGGCGGCAGGCCUAACACAUGCAAGUCGAGCGGAUGAAGGGAGCUUGCUCCUGGAUUCAGCGGCGGACGGGCGAGUAAUGCCUAGGAAUCUGCCUGGUAGUGGGGGAUAACGUCCGGAAACGGGCGCUAAUACCGCAUACGUCCUGAGGGAGAAAGUGGGGGAUCUUUGGACCUCACGCUAUCAGAUGAGCCUAGGUCGGAUUAGCUAGUUGGUGGGGUAAAGGCCUACCAAGGCGACGAUCCGUAACUGAUCUGAGAGGAUGAUCAGUCACACUGGAACUGAGACACGGUCCAGACUCCUACGGGAGGCAGCAGUAGGGAAUAUUGGACAAUGGGCGAAAGCCUGAUCCAGCCAUGCCGCGUGUGUGAAGAAGGUCUUCGGAUUGUAAAGCACUUUAAGUUGGGAGGAAGGACAGUAAGUUAAUACCUUGCUGUUUUGACGUUACCAACAGAAUAAGCACCGGCUAACUUCGUG
This 484-nucleotide ribosomal RNA is filed under the name uncultured bacterium. RNAcentral describes it as "partial 16S ribosomal RNA". It matches the Rfam family "Bacterial small subunit ribosomal RNA", at positions 30 to 507 of the family's 1533-position model. The record is from RNAcentral.